RNAcentral lists this ribosomal RNA (434 nucleotides) under uncultured bacterium. Its description in RNAcentral is "partial 16S ribosomal RNA". It matches the Rfam family "Bacterial small subunit ribosomal RNA", at positions 29 to 507 of the family's 1533-position model. The record is from RNAcentral.
AGCGAACGCUGGCGGCAGGCCUAACACAUGCAAGUCGAACGAACCUUUCGGGGUUAGUGGCGGACGGGUGAGUAACACGUGGGAACGUGCCUUUAGGUUCGGAAUAACUCAGGGAAACUUGUGCUAAUACCGAAUGUGCCCUUCGGGGGAAAGAUUAAUCGCCUUUAGAGCGGCCCGCGUCUGAUUAGCUAGUUGGUUGAGGUAAUGGCUCACCAAGGCGACGAUCAGUAGCUGGUCUGAGAGGAUGAUCAGCCACACUGGGACUGAGACACGGCCCAAAAUCCUACGGGAGGCAGCAGUGGGGAAUCUUGCGCAAUGGGCGAAAGCCUGACGCAGCCAUGCCGCGUGAAUGAUGAAGGUCUUAGGAUUGUAAAAUUCUUUCACCGGGGACGAUAAUGACGGUACCCGGAGAAGAAGCCCCGGCUAACUUCGUG